This 253-nucleotide ribosomal RNA is filed under the name uncultured bacterium. RNAcentral's name for it is "partial 16S ribosomal RNA". It matches the Rfam family "Bacterial small subunit ribosomal RNA", at positions 524 to 776 of the family's 1533-position model. The record is from RNAcentral.
UACGUAGGGUCCGAGCGUUGUCCGGAAUUACUGGGCGUAAAGAGCUCGUAGGUGGUUUGUCGCGUUGUUCGUGAAAACUCACAGCUCAACUGUGGGCGUGCGGGCGAUACGGGCAGACUUGAGUACUGCAGGGGAGACUGGAAUUCCUGGUGUAGCGGUGGAAUGCGCAGAUAUCUGGAGGAACACCGGUGGCGAAGGCGGGUCUCUGGGCCGAUACUGACGCUGAGGAGCGAAAGCGUGGGGAGCGAACAGG